UCUGACCAUGUGGCCUUUUCUAUAAGAUUAGUAUUUUCUGGAAUAUCCUUUGAAGAGUGUUUGUCCUGAAUAAAAAAUCCAAUGAGAAGCAAAUUUUUUGUUUUCUAUGGCCUCACACAUGUGGACCGUACUCAUGAUUCUCAGCAUGUGGGGUUCACAGCUUUUUCCGUUCUGUAACUAGAGCCUGUAAGUCAAUGAAAGAUCCAGUCUAGAGGUCCAUGUCUGUUGUUAGUUCAUCUG
This 240-nucleotide long non-coding RNA is filed under the name Bos taurus (domestic cattle). RNAcentral describes it as "long non-coding RNA NONBTAT013799". The record is from RNAcentral. Lineage: Eukaryota; Metazoa; Chordata; Mammalia; Artiodactyla; Bovidae.